GUAUUUUUACGAAAGACAGGUCGACUGAGCUGCGAACUGGGACUGGAUGUGAGACUGGGACAGAGUUUGAUAGCAGCCAGCUGCUGGUAAUGAAAUUUGGAACGCCUUGGCCGUGAAGUGAGCGUAGCUGUUAUAAUUACGCAAGCCAUUAGCCAAGUUGCCAGAGCCAAAAGCAGUUGCGUUAAAUUUCAUUUGCCCGUUCUGCUAAAAUAUUGUUCAACGUGCCGGCAACUCAGCUUCUGCUGCUGUUCUUGCCUCUCACUCUUCGUCAACUCGUAGCGAAAAGCGAACAAUGCAAAAAUAUCAGGCGGAAUACUAUCAGAAAUUAUCGCAUGCGAUUUACAGCCACGUCGCAGCCGGAACCGGACGAGCUGCGAAAGAUUUAUCCCCGUUACUGCUAUCGACCACCACAGGCCGACAAGUCCUCAAUUUAAGCCUACGAGAAGUACAUGACAGAAACUAGAAAUAUUUUCUUAUUGAGUAAAUGAAAGGAGACUUGAUUGGCAGAGAUUUAAAUAAGUAAGCAUGCACGAGUCGCGAGACCUCGACUUGGUAAUACCCUAAA
Long non-coding RNA from Drosophila grimshawi, 565 nucleotides. RefSeq lists it as uncharacterized. The transcript has 3 exons. Lineage: Eukaryota; Metazoa; Arthropoda; Insecta; Diptera; Drosophilidae. The record is from RefSeq and is a predicted model, not a curated record.